AUCUGGGCGGCGGAAUUCAGAAUGGCCGGCGUGCUCUUGCGGUGCGUCAGUCGUUUGAUAUUUCCGUCGCCAAUUCUGCAGACGUCGCGACCUGUUCGCGGUCGGUCCCUGCUCGGAGGAGCCGCGUUCGAGCUCGUUGUGUGCGCGUUUCGGCGUGUCACACGGCGAAGGCGCGGAUCUCUGGCUGGCCGUCGGACAGUAUGCUUAACGGUGUCCGGUGUCGUCGUCUCGUACGCGCGGCACCGGUACCGGUCAGCGACGAAUUCUUCGGGCCUCUUUCCGACCCGUCUUGAAACACGGACCAAGGAGUCUAACAUGCGCGCGAGUCGCGGGGUAUCGAGCGUACUUCGGUGCGUUCGUUAUGUUGCGAAACCCGUACAUGUUGAAGGCGUAAUGAAAGUGAAUGGGGAAGAUGGUGUUCCGAGUUCACGUUCCGCGAUCGUUGGUAUCGCGGCCGGACACCCGCAUUCCCGGGGCGUCUCAACGGCCCGUCGCUGAUGCGGACAGUCGUCUCUUGGGGCGGCUGUCGGUCGGCGACGAACCGA
RNAcentral lists this ribosomal RNA (545 nucleotides) under Chortinaspis sp. D0265E. RNAcentral describes it as "partial large subunit ribosomal RNA". Lineage: Eukaryota; Metazoa; Arthropoda; Insecta; Hemiptera; Diaspididae. RNAcentral also lists the same sequence under 1 other name. The record is from RNAcentral.